Molecule: long non-coding RNA, 474 nt
Filed under: Physcomitrium patens
Lineage: Eukaryota; Viridiplantae; Streptophyta; Bryopsida; Funariales; Funariaceae
Description: long non-coding RNA (PPAT_LNC005472)
Source: RNAcentral
UCAUAAUAUUUUAUUCUUCUCGACAAAAUCAAUACUGCCUUGAAUUAUAACUCACAUAUUUGUAACCCUAAAACUGGUUCUUCUCAUGUUCUUAUUCAACAUAUAAUUCCAUCUACUAUACAAUCAAUUUCUAAUAUUUCAUAUUCUUAUCAUUUCCCCGACAAUGGCGCCAAAGUAUUGUUCUUGUUGUGUUCAAGCUUUAGUAUAUUAAAGUAAUUGAAUUAAUAGAGGUGGGUUUGAAUACAAGGAAAGAUUGGUUAUAUGUAUUGGGAUCUGUUAGUGUCACAAUUGACUGUACUCUGGCUAUCUGAAAUCAAUUAUCAAACUACAAAAUACCAAGGCUUACUACUUCCGUCUUGAUUCAAUACAUAAUCCAUUCUACGACUAUCAAUUCAACAAUACUUCUCUCAAUCACAAUUCUUCAUAAGCAAAUAAUAAAAACAAAGAAAACAAAGAAGUAGCACCAAGCUUACC